GACGAACGCUGGCGGCGUGCUUAACACAUGCAAGUCGAACGGAAAGGCCCUGCUUUUGUGGGGUGCUCGAGUGGCGAACGGGCGAGUAACACGUGAGUAACCUGCCCUUGACUUUGGGAUAACUUCAGGAAACUGGGGCUAAUACCGGAUAGGAGCUCCUGCUGCAUGGUGGGGGUUGGAAAGUUUCGGCGGUUGGGGAUGGACUCGCGGCUUAUCAGCUUGUUGGUGGGGUAGUGGCUCACCAAGGCUUUGACGGGUAGCCGGCCUGAGAGGGUGACCGGCCACAUUGGGACUGAGAUACGGCCCAGACUCCUACGGGAGGCAGCAGUGGGGAAUAUUGCACAAUGGGCGGAAGCCUGAUGCAGCAACGCCGCGUGCGGGAUGACGGCCUUCGGGUUGUAAACCGCUUUCGCCUGUGACGAAGCGUGAGUGACGGUAAUGGGUAAAGAAGCACCGGCUAACUACGUG
Molecule: ribosomal RNA, 468 nt
Filed under: uncultured bacterium
Lineage: Bacteria
Description: partial 16S ribosomal RNA
Rfam family: Bacterial small subunit ribosomal RNA
Source: RNAcentral